UUGUCUUCUGAGUUUCA
This 17-nucleotide microRNA is filed under the name Corchorus olitorius. RNAcentral describes it as "hsa-miR-42". The record is from RNAcentral. Lineage: Eukaryota; Viridiplantae; Streptophyta; Magnoliopsida; Malvales; Malvaceae.